RNAcentral lists this long non-coding RNA (882 nucleotides) under Anas platyrhynchos platyrhynchos (common mallard). RNAcentral describes it as "lncRNA (ENSAPLG00000019181.1)". The record is from RNAcentral. Lineage: Eukaryota; Metazoa; Chordata; Aves; Anseriformes; Anatidae.
CGCGGCUGGAAACCAGCGCAGGCGUCUUGGGCAGCUGUGUCCAUAAAUUUGAUAAAAAGUAGGGCUGGAAAUUAUCUUCGCUGCACGCUUGCUACGUUUUGUAGCAGUGCCUUUCGUGCUAAAGCGUGCUCAGCUGCUAUUACGAACCUGAAUAACGCAAACCAACCCCAGCCACCAACAGAGGUGUGCUGUUGGCAUCAGGUCAGAGGAGGACUUAUGCAUGAGGCUGAAAUUUCUGAUAUAGAGGAGAGAGGCUGGUUUGGAGCAGAGGACUGGAGUGGAUAACCAAUCCCCAGCUGAGAUUCCCACUUACACCACGUGUCGUGCGUCCUCACAGUCCUGCCUGUGUCCCGAAUUUUGGUGGGGGAAGAGCAUGUUGCUGUAUCUGAGGCUGUGAGAAGGUACAUACAAUGGUACCUAAAUUUUCUUGUGAAAAUGCUCAAUGGAUUGGUGAAGCUUUGUUUUCUGGUUGCAAUGCAUGGCUAAUCUACAGCUGUUCCAGGCAUGGCUCUUCAGCAUUUUGUUGAUUAGCAGAGCUAGUUUUUAAGUGGAAUUCCUGGAAAAAAUAUACAGCCUUUAAAGUGGUCUUUAUUGUGCCAGUACAGAGAUGACUGCACCUUAACUUAUUCCCAUUUCUGUUUCGGAAUAGCUACAUGAAGGUAAGCACAGCUAAAUCAUUCUCUAACUGCAACAGCAUUGUGCAUCUUCAGCCUUAGUGGUAUAACUGAAGUGGUUUAGUUUCUCUUUGUUGAUUAGAUCUAAACUCUGACGAGGCUAUCGUGUAGCUAUCUGCUCUUGUGAAAUAACCCACACUAAGUGUCCAAGCUGGUAUGGCGAAAUUGUUAAAACAGAUUGCUAAUAUCCUUAAUAUCUAGCUCAGCC